CCGCCCGUCACAUCACGAAAGCCAUUUGUACUAGAAGCCGGUGAUUCAACAGCAAGGAGAUAGCCGUCCAAGGUAUGAAUGGUGAUUGGGGUG
Molecule: ribosomal RNA, 93 nt
Filed under: uncultured bacterium
Lineage: Bacteria
Description: partial 16S ribosomal RNA
Rfam family: Bacterial small subunit ribosomal RNA
Source: RNAcentral